AUUGAACGCUGGCGGCAUGCCUUACACAUGCAAGUCGAACGGCAGCACGGGAGCAAUCCUGGUGGCGAGUGGCGAACGGGUGAGUAAUAUAUCGGAACGUGCCCAGUCGUGGGGAUAACGUAGCGAAAGCUACGCUAAUACCGCAUACGAUCUAUGGAUGAAAGCGGGGGGAUCGCAAGACCUCGCGCGAUUGGAGCGGCCGAUAUCAGAUUAGGUAGUUGGUGAGGUAAAGGCUCACCAAGCCGACGAUCUGUAGCUGGUCUGAGAGGACGACCAGCCACACUGGGACUGAGACACGGCCCAGACUCCUACGGGAGGCAGCAGUGGGGAAUUCUGGACAAUGGGCGCAAGCCUGAUCCAGCAAUGCCGCGUGCAGGAUGAAGG
RNAcentral lists this ribosomal RNA (384 nucleotides) under uncultured bacterium. Its description in RNAcentral is "bacterial SSU rRNA". It matches the Rfam family "Bacterial small subunit ribosomal RNA", at positions 29 to 414 of the family's 1533-position model. The record is from RNAcentral.